This 378-nucleotide unclassified non-coding RNA is filed under the name uncultured bacterium. Its description in RNAcentral is "contains 16S-23S intergenic spacer region". The record is from RNAcentral.
UCCGGUUUAUCACCGGCAGUCCCCCUAGAGUUCCCGGCCGAACCGCUGGUAACUAAGGAUAGGGGUUGCGCUCGUUGCGGGACUUAACCCAACACCUCACGACACGAGCUGACGACAGCCAUGCAGCACCUAGUAGCAAGCCCCUUGCGGGGAGAGUGACUUUCAUCACCGGUCCUGCCACCUUCUAACCCAGGUAAGGUUCUUCGCGUUGCGUCGAAUUGAACCACAUGCUCCACCGCUUGUGCGGGCCCCCGUCAAUUCCUUUGAGUUUCAGCCUUGCGGCCGUACUCCCCAGGCGGAUGACUUAAUGCGUUAGCUGCGCCACCGAAAGCCUAUGGCCCCCGACAGCUAGUCAUCAUCGUUUACGGCGUGGACUAC